RNAcentral lists this long non-coding RNA (487 nucleotides) under Vigna radiata. RNAcentral describes it as "long non-coding RNA (VRAD_LNC003629)". Lineage: Eukaryota; Viridiplantae; Streptophyta; Magnoliopsida; Fabales; Fabaceae. The record is from RNAcentral.
UUGGUUUCUUUGUCAUGGAGAUAUAUUCCAUUUGAAUGGAAUGUUUGCUUUUUUUUUUAUUAUUUUUAUUAUUCCAAAAAGCCAUGAUGCAAUUUGAUUUUAAAGAAAAUGGAAAAGGUGAUGUUAAGCUAAAACAAAGGCACGGUAAUGAGUUUUAUUUCUUUUAUUUAUUUAAAAAGCAUUAGCGUCAAUUAUUAAUGGUAGGGUCGGUGCCUCAGCACAUUUUCAAGUUUGGAUAAGUACUUUCACGGUAAGCAGGAGGUGUCACAGUGUGAUUAAUUUUUACUUUUUGUUUUUAUUUAAUUUUAAUCUUUAUUUUAAAAUGUUUUUUUUCUUUUAUUUAUUUACCUUGUUUAUGUUUCUAAGCCUAUUUUACCUUAGAUAGAAUGUGGGAAUUUUUAAAUGCUGCUAGGUUAUUUUCUUUACACUAGUAAAAAAUCGAUCUUUUACCGCGCACAUUAUGCCGCGGUUCAAUAGAAACCGAAGC